Molecule: ribosomal RNA, 256 nt
Filed under: uncultured bacterium
Lineage: Bacteria
Description: partial 16S ribosomal RNA
Rfam family: Bacterial small subunit ribosomal RNA
Source: RNAcentral
UACAGAGGUCCCGAGCGUUGUUCGGAUUUAUUGGGCGUAAAGGGUGCGUAGGCGGCGGAGUAAGUUGGGUGUGAAAUCCCGGGGCUCAACCUCGGAAUGGCAUUCAAUACUGCUUCGCUAGAGUACUGGAGAGGAGGCUGGAAUUUACGGUGUAGCAGUGAAAUGCGUAGAUAUCGUAAGGAAGGCCGGUGGCGAAAGCGAGCCUCUGGACAGUUACUGACGCUGAUGCACGAAGGGCCAAGGGGAGCAAACCGGG